Molecule: ribosomal RNA, 253 nt
Filed under: uncultured bacterium
Lineage: Bacteria
Description: partial 16S ribosomal RNA
Rfam family: Bacterial small subunit ribosomal RNA
Source: RNAcentral
AACGUAGGUGGCAAGCGUUAUCCGGAUUUACUGGGCGUAAAGCGUGUGCAGGCGGGGGUACAGGAGGUGGAUGAAAUUUCCCAGCUUAACUGGGAAGGGUUAUGCCAGACUGUACUUCUGGAGUGCGAGAGAGGGGCGUGGAAUUCCUGGUGUAGCGGUGAAAUGCGCAGAUAUCAGGAGGAACACCGGUGGCGAAGGCGGGUCUCUGGGCCGAUACUGACGCUGAGGAGCGAAAGCGUGGGGAGCGAACAGG